This 479-nucleotide ribosomal RNA is filed under the name uncultured bacterium. RNAcentral's name for it is "bacterial SSU rRNA". It matches the Rfam family "Bacterial small subunit ribosomal RNA", at positions 328 to 793 of the family's 1533-position model. The record is from RNAcentral.
CUCUGUGACUCCUACGGGGAGGCAGCAGUGGGGGAAUAUUGCACAAUGGGGGGAAACCCUGAUGCAGCCAUGCCGCGUGUGUGAAGAAGGACCUUCGGGGUUGUAAAGCACUUUCAGUAGGGAGGAAGGUAGUGUAGUUAACACCUGCACUAUUUGACGUUACCUACAGAAGAAGCACCGGCUAACUCCGUGCCAGCAGCCGCGGUAAUACGGAGGGUGCGAGCGUUAAUCGGAAUUACUGGGCGUAAAGCGCAUGCAGGCGGCCUGUUAAGUCAGAUGUGAAAGCCCGGGGCUUAACCUCGGAAUUGCAUUUGAAACUGGCAGGCUAGAGUCUUGUAGAGGGGGGUAGGAAUUUCAGGUGUAGCGGUGAAAUGCGUAGAGAUCUGAAGGAAUACCAGUGGCGAAGGCGGCCCCCUGGACAAAGACUGACGCUCAGAUGCGAAAGCGUGGGGAGCAAACAGGAUUAGAUACCCUGGUAG